CCUACGGGAGGCAGCAGUAGGGAAUCUUCGGCAAUGGACGGAAGUCUGACCGAGCAACGCCGCGUGAGUGAAGAAGGUUUUCGGAUCGUAAAGCUCUGUUGUAAGAGAAGAACGAGUGUGAGAGUGGAAAGUUCACACUGUGACGGUAUCUUACCAGAAAGGGACGGCUAACUACGUGCCAGCAGCCGCGGUAG
Molecule: ribosomal RNA, 194 nt
Filed under: uncultured bacterium
Lineage: Bacteria
Description: partial 16S ribosomal RNA
Rfam family: Bacterial small subunit ribosomal RNA
Source: RNAcentral